This 497-nucleotide ribosomal RNA is filed under the name uncultured bacterium. RNAcentral describes it as "partial 16S ribosomal RNA". It matches the Rfam family "Bacterial small subunit ribosomal RNA", at positions 28 to 507 of the family's 1533-position model. The record is from RNAcentral.
GAUGAACGCUGGCGGCGUGCCUAAUACAUGCAAGUCGAGCGAACAGACGAGGAGCUUGCUCCUCUGACGUUAGCGGCUGACGGGUGAGUAACACGUGGAUAACCUACCUAUAUUACUGGGAUAACUUCGGGAAACCGGAUCUAAUACCGGAUAAUAUAUUGAACCGCAUGGUUCAAUAGUGAAAGACGGUUUUGCUGUCACUUAUAGAUGGAUCCGCGCCGCAUUAGCUAGUUGGUAAGGUAACGGCUUACCAAGGCAACGAUGCGUAGCCGACCUGAGAGGGUGAUCGGCCACACUGGAACUGAGACACGGUCCAGACGCCUACGGGAGGCAGCAGUAGGGAAUAUUCCGCAAUGGGCGAAAGCCUGACGGAGCAACGCCGCGUGAGUGAAGAAGGUCUUCGGAUCGUAAAACUCUGUUAUUAGGGAAGAAAAAAUGUGUAAGUAAAUAUGCACGUCUUGACGGUACCUAAUCAGAAAGCAACGGCUAACUACGUG